AAGAAAAUGAGCAUCCUAGAAAUUAAAGAAUCCAAGCUCGGCCACUCGUCAUACAACAAACCAUGAUAGAGAUAGAUAGGGGAUUAAAGCGACAACGUUAUUGUCCCUUAUAAAUAUCUAAGUCUCAAACUUUAUCCUAAAUAUUGUCAAGUCCAGACUCUCUGUUGUGCAUAUUCUACACCAAAGAGGGUUGUGAAUCAGCCCCCAUGUCAUCCAUCAUUGAAACACAUGGCUAACAUUCAUUAUCAAAUAAGCUGGGCAUGAAUAUGAGCCAUAGCCGUCCAUUUUUGAAAUAGACGUACGUUGUAGUAGUUAUCCAAAGAUGCACGUUCAUUAUAGUGCAAAAGAGGCACAAUAGAUGAUCCUAGUUCGUUAUUAUCAACCCGAGAUGCUGGAUAAAUCUACCCUUAUGUUUGAAUGGCACACUUAAACAGCAAUAAGUGGAACGCCUCUUGUUUCAAAAAAAUAGAAAUUGGUUAACUAUACUCUUCUUACACUCAUAUUUUACGCAUUGAAAUGGCAGCAAAAAUUAAAUUAGUUGAAAAUAUAUCUCAAUAUAAUCGAAAGUAUAUCUGAUAAAAGUUUUAAACUUUUAAAACUGUUCCAAUCAUCUGCUUGCAUGAUAGCGUGUGAAGGAAAGAAGAGUAUUAGUCCAUGAAUAUCGGAAAAAACUUUGUAGUGUCUUAACAGAAAAUGUUUCUUAUGCAGGAAAA
Molecule: long non-coding RNA, 713 nt
Filed under: Elaeis guineensis (African oil palm)
Lineage: Eukaryota; Viridiplantae; Streptophyta; Magnoliopsida; Arecales; Arecaceae
Description: long non-coding RNA (EGUI_LNC073546)
Source: RNAcentral